Long non-coding RNA from Amphiprion ocellaris (clown anemonefish), 1734 nucleotides. The record is from Ensembl. Lineage: Eukaryota; Metazoa; Chordata; Actinopteri; Pomacentridae.
GUUUUUCAGUGACUAUGGUUGUUGUUGUGGCAGGCUUUGUGGUGGUUGUUGCUCCUGUUGUUCCAGAGGGCUUUUCUGUGACUGUUGUGGAUUCAAGAGAUGUAGUGGUACUGGGUUUCCCUGUGAUUGUGGUUGUUGUGGUAGGUUUUGCAGUUGCUGUAGUUGUGGUGGAUUUUUCGGGGACUGUGGUGGUUGUUUCUGCUAUUGUUGUAUGAGGCGUUUCUGUUGUGGAUUCAAGAGUUGUCGUGGCAAUGGGCUUUUCUCUGGUUGUAGUGGUUGUUGUAGGUUGCUUUUCUAUGACUGUUGUUGAUUCAAGGGUUGUUGUGGGUGUUAUGUGUGUUGUGCUCGUCCCACAUAUGUCACGGCAACACUUGAUUCGUAUUUCAUAGUCAAAACAUACGGGUGGGAAUUGUUCAUUGUUAUGACAGAUCAGUCCAGUUGUUGGACUACAUGUUACUUUUUGCCCUAGGUCCUUCAAAGGUACAUCUUUGUAAUUUGCAGCUCUACAUUGUAUUUCCAGGGGUUUUGUACAAAGACUCAGAUCUGGAUAAGUAAUGCUUUGAAUGGUUUCAUAUUCUCCACCACCUGCACCAAAGACAGGGUAACUGUUGUUCAUCCAUUUCGUCCAUGUACAAACAAUGCAGCCAGCAGUUGUUGAUGUUUCUGUGAUUAUUAUGGUGGUUGUUGCCUCUGUUGUUUCAGGGGACUUUUCGGUGACUGUUGUGGAUUCAAAAGUUGUAGUGGCAGUAGGUUUUUCUGUGAUUGUCGUUGUUGUGGAAGGUCUUGCGGUGGUUGUUGCUGCUGUUUUUCCAGAGGGCUUUUCUGUUGUGGAUUCAAAAGAUGUAGUGGUAGUGUUUAUUUCUGUGAUUGUAGUUGUUGUGGAAAGUUUUGCGGUCGCUGUAGUUGUGGUGGGUUUUUCGGUGACUGUGGUUGUUGUUGUGGCAGGUUUUGUGGUAGUUGUUGCUCCUGUUGUUCCAGGGGGCUUUUCUGUGACUGUUGUGGAUUCAAAAGUUGUAGCGGUAGUGGUUUUUCCUGGGACUGUGGUUGUUGCUGCAGGUUUUGUUUUGGUGGUUGUUGCUACUGUUGUUCCAAAGGGUUUUUCUGUUGUGGAUUCAAAAGAUGUAGUAGUAGUGGGUCUUUCUGUGAUUGUGGUUGUUGUGGAAGGUGUUGCCGUUGUUCCUGCUGCUGUUGUUCCAGAGGGUUUUUCUGUGACUGUUGUAGUUGUAAUUUCAACAAGAGGUUUUGCUGAUUGUGCUGCUGUAGUACUGUAUUGUACUGUGUUUGUAACAACUUCCAAGGUUGUUGUGGUAGGUUUUUCUGUAGUUGUUGUUGUGCUAGUGUUUUCUGUUACUGUAGUGGUUGUUUCUGCUGUUGUUCCAGAGGGCUUUUCUGUGACUGUUGUGGAUUCAAAAGUUGUAGUGGCAGUAGGUUUUUCUGUGAUUGUCGUUGUUGUCGAAGGUUUUGCGGUCGCUGUAGUUGUGGUGGGUUUUUCAGUGACUAUGGUUGUUGUUGUGGCAGGCUUUGUGGUGGUUGUUGCUCCUGUUGUUCCAGAGGGCUUUUCUGUGACUGUUGUGGAUUCAAAAGUUGUAGUGGCAGUAGGUUUCUCUGUGAUUGUCGUUGUUGUCAAAGGUUUUGCGGUCGCUGUAGUUGUGGUGGGUUUUUCAGUGACUAUGGUUGUUGUUGUGGCAGGCUUUGUGGUGGUUGUUGCUCCUGUUGUUCCAGAGGGCUUUUCUG